UAUCUCAAGAUGUUGUUUGUGCUCUGCC
This 28-nucleotide small RNA is filed under the name Bombyx mori (domestic silkworm). Its description in RNAcentral is "piRNA piR-bmo-1645929". Lineage: Eukaryota; Metazoa; Arthropoda; Insecta; Lepidoptera; Bombycidae. The record is from RNAcentral.